This 284-nucleotide ribosomal RNA is filed under the name uncultured Pseudomonadaceae bacterium. RNAcentral describes it as "partial 16S ribosomal RNA". It matches the Rfam family "Bacterial small subunit ribosomal RNA", at positions 1096 to 1382 of the family's 1533-position model. The record is from RNAcentral. Lineage: Bacteria; Pseudomonadati; Pseudomonadota; Gammaproteobacteria; Pseudomonadales; Pseudomonadaceae.
GCGCAACCCUUGUCCUUAGUUACCAGCACGUUAUGUGGGCACUCUAAGGAGACUGCCGGUGACAACCGGAGGAAGUGGGGAUGACGUCAAGUCAUCAUGGCCCUUACGGCCUGGGCUACACACGUGCUACAAUGGUCGGUACAAAGGGUUGCCAAGCCGCGAGGUGGAGCUAAUCCCAUAAAACCGAUCGUAGUCCGGAUCGCAGUCUGCAACUCGACUGCGUGAAGUCGGAAUCGCUAGUAAUCGUGAAUCAGAAUGUCACGGUGAAUACGUUCCCGGGCCUU